RNAcentral lists this non-coding RNA (384 nucleotides) under Pan troglodytes (chimpanzee). Lineage: Eukaryota; Metazoa; Chordata; Mammalia; Primates; Hominidae. The record is from RNAcentral.
CCCUUGGCUCACCUUCCCCCAUCCACGCACCAGGAGCGGAGAGCCCGGAACUAAGAACAGUAGACCCAGAGAGGUGAGACCGGCCCCAAGCACCUGGGUCCUCAAGAAGAGUCACCGUUUCCGUGCCAGGAGGAUCCAAGGUGGGGAAACUGAGGCUGAGAGAGAAGGACGUUGACCAAGGUCACAGGGCAGGAGCAGCAGAGACAGAGUCUCGCUAUGUUGCUCAGACUGGUCUCCAACUUCUGGCUCAAGCGAUCCUCCUGCCUUGACCUCGCUAAGUGCUGGGAUUACCGAAUGGGAGCCACCAUGCCCAGUCUUUACUCAAAAUUCACCUUCUCCCUGGGUCUUCUCUGGAGACCCUAGCUUUAAAAAUAAACAAGUAAA